GUAACAUUUCAACCAUAUUGAACUGUGCGUCACAAGAAGACUUAUUUCGUACUCCGUUUUCUUACUGAUGGAGGGGGCAGAGCACAAGUAGAGGAAUAGAUUUUUUUCUUCUGGUUCCACUUUACCUAUGGAAAUCUUCUGAGCAGCAACAGAAGGAGACAUGCCAAACUACAGAGCUUGUCAUGGGCAUCAAGAAACAAGUAGUCUUCCAAAAGUGCUUUUAACUAAAUCAGGUAGUGCAAUGCAAAGUGGAAGAACUGAGUUUUGUCUUGCUGACACCUACUCUGGCUCCAGAACUGUGUAUCUGCAUUGCAUCUUCAGAACAGAACAGAACAGAAUAUAAUAUAGACUAGAACAGAGUAUUUCAGUUAGAAGGGACCUAUAACGAUCAUCCAGUCCAACUGCCUAAACAAUUCAGGCCUGAUUAAAUAUCAACCCCUGUUAUUAAGGGCAUUGUCCAAAUGCCUCUUAGACACUGACAGGUUUGGGGCAUCAACCUUCUCUCUAGGAAGCCUGUUCCAGGGUUUGACCAGCCUCUGGGUAAAGAAAGGAUUCCUAAUAUUAAGUCAGAACCUAGCCUGAUGCAGCUUUGAGCGCUUUCUGCACAUCCUGUCCCUGGACCCUAGGAAGAAGAGCUCAGAACCUCCCUCUCUACCUCCUCCGGAAGCUGUGGAGAGCAAUGAGAUCACGUCAUCUUCAUUUUCUCCAAAGUGAACUUGUCCUAAGUCCUCAUCCACACUGGACAUUCUUUCCAGCCUUUCACUGUCUUUGUCAUCCUCCACUGGAUGCAUUCAAGGACCUUCACAUCCUUCUUAAAUUGUGGAGCUCAGAAGUACAAAUAGUACUCCAGGUGAGGCUCCACCAGUGCUGAGAUCAGUGGGAUCAUCAACUGCUUUGGAGCGACUGGUGAAGCUGUGUUUGAUGCACCCCAGAACGGGAUUUGCCCUCCUGGCUGCCUGCGGUCCCUGCUGACUCCUACCGAAACUGUUGUCAACCAGCACCCCCAGAUACCUUUCUGCAGGGCUGCUCUGCAGCCAGUCCUCUCCAAAUUCAUACCUGUGUGGGGCAUUUCCAAUCCUAUGUGCAGAAUAUGGCAUUUAGACUUGCUAAAUUUAAUCCUGUUAAUCAUUGUCCAAUGAUCCAGUCUAUCUAGAUCCCUCUGUAAAUCCUCUUGUCCCUAA
Long non-coding RNA from Corvus hawaiiensis (hawaiian crow), 1181 nucleotides. RefSeq lists it as uncharacterized. The transcript is spliced from 3 exons. The record is from RefSeq and is a predicted model, not a curated record. Lineage: Eukaryota; Metazoa; Chordata; Aves; Passeriformes; Corvidae.